UGAGGAACAUGACCUUCGGCGGGGGAUAGCCGGCCCAACGGCCGGGUAAUACCGCGUACGACCUUUCGGGGACAUCCCCGGCUGGUGAAAGCAGCAAUGCGCCGAAGGAGUGCCUCGCGGCCUAUCAGCUAGUUGGUGAGGUAACGGCUCACCAAGGCGACGACGGGUAGCUGGUCUGAGAGGAUGGCCAGCCACAUUGGGACUGAGACACGGCCCAGACUCCGUACGGGAGCAGCAGG
This 239-nucleotide ribosomal RNA is filed under the name uncultured bacterium. RNAcentral's name for it is "partial 16S ribosomal RNA". It matches the Rfam family "Bacterial small subunit ribosomal RNA", at positions 118 to 354 of the family's 1533-position model. The record is from RNAcentral.